Molecule: long non-coding RNA, 427 nt
Organism: Drosophila navojoa
Lineage: Eukaryota; Metazoa; Arthropoda; Insecta; Diptera; Drosophilidae
Source: RefSeq, a predicted model, not a curated record
AGCUUGGCGAUUUCCCUUAAGACUGUGUUAACGCAGCUAUAAAAUAUUUGUUUAUUUUUUGGAAAUAUGUUGCCUGGUAUAUCAGAAUCUUAAUAAAUACUAAAAAGGCAUGAUGAGCUUCCGCCCAUCCAGCCAUCCAACCAUCCAGAGGAGGCCAGCAAGGACGCUGCCCGAGUUGACAAGCUUGGAUCAGCUAAGAGGACAGCAGGCGCUGUCUGGUGCCCGGCAUUCCCAAUGGAUUUUGCAGUUGCUCGUGCGUGUCGACAAGAAUUUCAAUUUGCAAACAAUAAAUUUGAACAGCCAGCCAGUGGCUCUUCGAGGAUGGCGAGGAACGCAGUGGAGUGGAGCGGAGGGAGCUAAAGGCACCCAAUAACUGCGACAUGCAAAUGACAGUUUGGCAUUUGACAAUGAUGUUGAUUUCAAUGUG